AUGGAUCGAGCGGGAAUUAAGGAAGAAUUUAACGCAUAUUUGUGCAACGCGGAUCUUGUGAGCUUCGAGGAAGAGAAGUGCAGCCAGUAUCACUAUCUCACUAGUUCCUUUGUGAGGAGGUUUGAAUUUUCAUCUUCACGUAAUUCUCCAACUGUCCUGUUUGAUCUUUAUGAAAAAUCUUAUACUAUGGACUUAGAGGAUUUUACCACUUCUUGCAAACUUCCACAAUGGGGUAGUAUCAGGGAACCUCGCAAAUAUGAAUUUAGAGAUUUUCUUGCUAGUAUAACUGUGGGGGAAUCUAGAGAUAUAACACAAGCUACCAUAGGGAGCAUUCAUUUUCCUGCUAUACAUUAUUUUGCUCUCUUCAUAGGUAGAUGCAUUAAUGGUAAAGAUGAGGCAUGUCACAUGUGUGUCCCUGACCUCAGUAUUCUUAGGAGUGCUGUGUUAGGAGAUAAAUCUUAUAAUUUGGGAGCCAUUGUUGCACGUAGGUUGCAUCUUAAUAGAUUUAAUGGAGAUUUCUUUGGUGGAAUUUAUGCAACCCGCUUAGCUGAUUUUCUCGGUGUGACCAUACGCGAGGAUGAUAUUGAAUUGCCUCCCGCUUACCUAGAUUUUAAUGCUAUGGUUCACCACCAGUUUGUUGAGAGGAGUGAAUCACCUCUCCAGUAUCGACCAAUCUUUGACAGACGGCGUGCUGUCCGUAUUACUCUCCCUGCUCCUGCCUUCUUUGAUUAUCAGGCAAAAGGAAGAUAUGUUAUUACUAGAGAGGAGGCAGAUGAGUACAAGAGGAGGGCUGAGGCCGCUCGUCGCCAUGUUGCAGCUCAGGAGGCGAUAGUUGCUGCAUCGCAGUACGACCCCAACUAUUAUUAUGGAUAUCCGCCAGGCCAGCCGUGGCCAUAG
RNAcentral lists this ribosomal RNA (897 nucleotides) under Triticum aestivum (bread wheat). RNAcentral's name for it is "partial small subunit ribosomal RNA". Lineage: Eukaryota; Viridiplantae; Streptophyta; Magnoliopsida; Poales; Poaceae. The record is from RNAcentral.